UACGUAGGGUGCAAGCGUUGUCCGGAAUUAUUGGGCGUAAAGAGCUCGUAGGCGGUUUGUCGCGUCUGCUGUGAAAAACUCGGGGCUUAACUCCGGGCCUGCAGUGGGUACGGGCAGACUAGAGUGCGGUAGGGGAGACUGGAAUUCCUGGUGUAGCGGUGAAAUGCGCAGAUAUCAGGAGGAACACCGGUGGCGAAGGCGGGUCUCUGGGCCGUAACUGACGCUGAGGAGCGAAAAGUGUGGGGAGCGAACAGG
Molecule: ribosomal RNA, 255 nt
Filed under: uncultured bacterium
Lineage: Bacteria
Description: partial 16S ribosomal RNA
Rfam family: Bacterial small subunit ribosomal RNA
Source: RNAcentral